AGUGAACGCUGGCGGUAGGCCUAACACAUGCAAGUCGAACGGCAGCACAGGAGAGCUUGCUCUCUGGGUGGCGAGUGGCGGACGGGUGAGGAGUACAUCGGAAUCUACUCUGUCGUGGGGGAUAACGUAGGGAAACUUACGCUAAUACCGCAUACGACCUACGGGUGAAAGCAGGGGACCUUCGGGCCUUGCGCGAUUGAAUGAGCCGAUGUCGGAUUAGCUAGUUGGCGGGGUAAAGGCCCACCAAGGCGACGAUCCGUAGCUAGUCUGAGAGGAUGAAUAGCCACACUGGAACUGAGACACGGUCCAGACUCCUACGGGAGGCAGCAGUGGGGAAUAUUGGACAAUGGGCGCAAGCCUGAUCCAGCCAUACCGCGUGGGUGAAGAAGGCCUUCGGGUUGUAAAGCCCUUUUGUUGGGAAAGAAAUCCAGCUGGCUAAUACCCGGUUGGGAUGACGGUACCCAAAGAAUAAGCACCGGCUAACUUCGUGCCAGCAGCCGCAGUAA
Molecule: ribosomal RNA, 506 nt
Filed under: uncultured bacterium
Lineage: Bacteria
Description: partial 16S ribosomal RNA
Rfam family: Bacterial small subunit ribosomal RNA
Source: RNAcentral